CCCUUAGAUGUUCUGGGCCGCACGCGCGCUACACUGUUUGAUUCAGCGAGUCUUAACCUUGACCGAAAGGUUUGGGUAAUCUUCUAAAGUCAAACGUGAUGGGGAUCGAUCAUUGCAAUUAUUGAUCGUGAACGAGGAAUUCCUAGUAAAUACAAGUCAUCAGCUUGCGUUGAUUACGUCCCUGCCCUUUGUACACACCGCCCGUCGCUACUACCGAUUGAAUGGUUUAGUGAGAUCUCCGGAUUGGCUCUGUAGGUCCCGCAAGGGAUUUAUUAGUAGCCAAGAAGCUGCUCAAACUUGAUCAUUUAGAGGAAGUAAAAGUCGUAACA
This 329-nucleotide ribosomal RNA is filed under the name uncultured eukaryote. RNAcentral describes it as "partial 18S ribosomal RNA". It matches the Rfam family "Eukaryotic small subunit ribosomal RNA", at positions 1470 to 1796 of the family's 1831-position model. The record is from RNAcentral.